This 468-nucleotide ribosomal RNA is filed under the name uncultured bacterium. Its description in RNAcentral is "partial 16S ribosomal RNA". It matches the Rfam family "Bacterial small subunit ribosomal RNA", at positions 28 to 507 of the family's 1533-position model. The record is from RNAcentral.
GACGAACGCUGGCGGCGUGCUUAACACAUGCAAGUCGAACGGAAAGGCCCUGCUUUUGUGGGGUGCUCGAGUGGCGAACGGGUGAGUAACACGUGAGUAACCUGCCCUUGACUUUGGGAUAACUUCAGGAAACUGGGGCUAAUACCGGAUAGGAGCUCCUGCUGCAUGGUGGGGGUUGGAAAGUUUCGGCGGUUGGGGAUGGACUCGCGGCUUAUCAGCUUGUUGGUGGGGUAGUGGCUUACCAAGGCUUUGACGGGUAGCCGGCCUGAGAGGGUGACCGGCCACAUUGGGACUGAGAUACGGCCCAGACUCCUACGGGAGGCAGCAGUGGGGAAUAUUGCACAAUGGGCGGGAGCCUGAUGCAGCAACGCCGCGUGCGGGAUGACAGCCUUCGGGUUGUAAACCGCUUUCGCCUGUGACGAAGCGUGAGUGACGGUAAUGGGUAAAGAAGCACCGGCUAACUACGUG